RNAcentral lists this ribosomal RNA (327 nucleotides) under uncultured eukaryote. RNAcentral's name for it is "partial 18S ribosomal RNA". It matches the Rfam family "Eukaryotic small subunit ribosomal RNA", at positions 1470 to 1796 of the family's 1831-position model. The record is from RNAcentral.
CCCUUAGAUGUCCGGGACCGCACGCGCGCUACAAUGGAUGAAUCAACGCGUCAUCCUGGCCCGAAAGGGUUGGGGAACCGCUGAACCUCAUCCGUGGUUGGGAUUGGGGUUUGUAAUUAUUCCCCAUGAACUAGGAAUUCCCAGUAAGCGCGAGUCAUAAGCUCGCGUUGAUUACGUCCCUGCCCUUUGUACACACCGCCCGUCGCUACUACCGAUUGGAUGGUUUAGUGAGAUCCUCGGAUUGGUCACGGCACGGUGGCAACACUGCGUCGGUGUGCCGAGAAGACGAUCAAACUUGAUCAUCUAGAGGAAGUAAAAGUCGUAACA